Molecule: non-coding RNA, 59 nt
Filed under: Clostridia bacterium
Lineage: Bacteria; Bacillati; Bacillota; Clostridia
Description: Fluoride sequence
Rfam family: Fluoride riboswitch aptamer (crcB RNA motif)
Source: RNAcentral
AAUAGUUAUGGUGAUGGGGCUCACCAUAACCGCUGUAAGCUGAUGGCUCCUAUUUUGAC